This 1379-nucleotide ribosomal RNA is filed under the name uncultured bacterium. RNAcentral describes it as "16S ribosomal RNA". It matches the Rfam family "Bacterial small subunit ribosomal RNA". The record is from RNAcentral.
UUCGCCCUUAGAGUUUGAUCCUGGCUCAGGACGAACGCUGGCGGCGCGCCUAACACAUGCAAGUCGAACGAGCGAGAGAGAGCUUGCUUUCUCGAGCGAGUGGCGAACGGGUGAGUAACGCGUGAGGAACCAGCCUCAAAGAGGGGGACAACAGUUGGAAACGACUGCUAAUACCGCAUAAGCCCACGGUGCCGCAUGGCACAGAGGGAAAAGGAGCAAUCCGCUUUGAGAUGGCCUCGCGUCCGAUUAGCUAGUUGGUGAGGUAAUGGCCCACCAAGGCGACGAUCGGUAGCCGGACUGAGAGGUUGAACGGCCACAUUGGGACUGAGACACGGCCCAGACUCCUACGGGAGGCAGCAGUGGGGAAUAUUGCACAAUGGGGGAAACCCUGAUGCAGCGACGCCGCGUGGAGGAAGAAGGUCUUCGGAUUGUAAACUCCUGUUGUUGGGGAAGAUAAUGACGGUACCCAACAAGGAAGUGACGGCUAACUACGUGCCAGCAGCCGCGGUAAAACGUAGGUCACAAGCGUUGUCCGGAAUUACUGGGUGUAAAGGGAGCGCAGGCGGGAAGACAAGUUGGAAGUGAAAUCUACGGGCUCAACCCAUAAACUGCUUUCAAAACUGUUUUUCUUGAGUAGUGCAGAGGUAGGCGGAAUUCCCGGUGUAGCGGUGGAAUGCGUAGAUAUCGGGAGGAACACCAGUGGCGAAGGCGGCCUACUGGGCACCAACUGACGCUGAGGCUCGAAAGUGUGGGUAGCAAACAGGAUUAGAUACCCUGGUAGUCCACACCGUAAACGAUGAUUACUAGGUGUUGGAGGAUUGACCCCUUCAGUGCCGCAGUUAACACAAUAAGUAAUCCACCUGGGGAGUACGACCGCAAGGUUGAAACUCAAAGGAAUUGACGGGGGCCCGCACAAGCAGUGGAGUAUGUGGUUUAAUUCGACGCAACGCGAAGAACCUUACCAAGUCUUGACAUCCCUUGACAGACAUAGAAAUAUGUAAUCUCUUCGGAGCAAGGAGACAGGUGGUGCAUGGUUGUCGUCAGCUCGUGUCGUGAGAUGUUGGGUUAAGUCCCGCAACGAGCGCAACCCUUAUGGUCAGUUACUACGCAAGAGGACUCUGGCCAGACUGCCGUUGACAAAACGGAGGAAGGUGGGGAUGACGUCAAAUCAUCAUGCCCUUUAUGACUUGGGCUACACACGUACUACAAUGGCGUUAAACAAAGAGAAGCAAGACCGCGAGGUGGAGCAAAACUCAGAAACAACGUCCCAGUUCGGACUGCAGGCUGCAACUCGCCUGCACGAAGUCGGAAUUGCUAGUAAUCGUGGAUCAGCAUGCCACGGUGAAUACGUUCCCGGGCCUUGUACUCACCGCCCGUCA